UUGCUCACUUCAGCAGCACAUAUACUGUAAUUGGAACCUUACAGAGAAGAUAGCAUGGCCACUGUGCUAGGAUGGCAUGCAAAGUUGUGAAAUGUUCCAUAUAUUU
Small nuclear RNA from Cervus hanglu yarkandensis (Yarkand deer), 106 nucleotides. NCBI's taxonomy places the organism in Eukaryota, Metazoa, Chordata, Mammalia, Artiodactyla, Cervidae. The record is from Ensembl.